GUGGUGGUUACAAUGAAGACAAUUUUACGUAACUGUGUUGAAUAUAAUAGCCAUCUUAACCGGUAUAUUAUAAAAGAAAUAUUUUAUGAACUUGGUCCUUGACACCUUGAAAGUAGCUUGUGAUCGAGGUUCUCUUAUUAGGAUUAUACGUGACGGUGCAUACGGAUCUUUUGUUGUGCACCACAUUAUGCGGUGCACAACGCACUUCAUCCAUCGCAUGAUGGAUGGCCGUACAUGACUACGUGCAAUGGAUGUGCAUCUGCGUACAGUCAUCCAUCACGCAAUGGACAGUAUGCUGUACACCGCAUAUUGCACGUUACCGUGCAUGACCGUCCAUCGAUGGAUGGGAUGCACUGUACGGUGCACAGCAGAGAAUCUACUCAUGCUUCGUGAGGAUUCUUCUAAUUCCCAUUUAGCAGUAAGGUUGGCGUC
Molecule: long non-coding RNA, 432 nt
Filed under: Elaeis guineensis (African oil palm)
Lineage: Eukaryota; Viridiplantae; Streptophyta; Magnoliopsida; Arecales; Arecaceae
Description: long non-coding RNA (EGUI_LNC032317)
Source: RNAcentral